Molecule: ribosomal RNA, 601 nt
Filed under: Vibrio sp. GD1.1
Lineage: Bacteria; Pseudomonadati; Pseudomonadota; Gammaproteobacteria; Vibrionales; Vibrionaceae
Description: bacterial SSU rRNA
Rfam family: Bacterial small subunit ribosomal RNA
Source: RNAcentral
GGAGGUUGUGGCCUUGAGCCGUGGCUUUCGGAGCUAACGCGUUAAGUAGACCGCCUGGGGAGUACGGUCGCAAGAUUAAAACUCAAAUGAAUUGACGGGGGCCCGCACAAGCGGUGGAGCAUGUGGUUUAAUUCGAUGCAACGCGAAGAACCUUACCUACUCUUGACAUCCAGAGAAGCCAGCAGAGAUGCAGGUGUGCCUUCGGGAGCUCUGAGACAGGUGCUGCAUGGCUGUCGUCAGCUCGUGUUGUGAAAUGUUGGGUUAAGUCCCGCAACGAGCGCAACCCUUAUCCUUGUUUGCCAGCACUUCGGGUGGGAACUCCAGGGAGACUGCCGGUGAUAAACCGGAGGAAGGUGGGGACGACGUCAAGUCAUCAUGGCCCUUACGAGUAGGGCUACACACGUGCUACAAUGGCGCAUACAGAGGGCAGCCAACUUGCGAAAGUGAGCGAAUCCCAAAAAGUGCGUCGUAGUCCGGAUUGGAGUCUGCAACUCGACUCCAUGAAGUCGGAAUCGCUAGUAAUCGUGGAUCAGAAUGCCACGGUGAAUACGUUCCCGGGCCUUGUACACACCGCCCGUCACACCAUGGGAGUGGGCUGCAA